Molecule: long non-coding RNA, 1091 nt
Organism: Cyprinodon variegatus (sheepshead minnow)
Lineage: Eukaryota; Metazoa; Chordata; Actinopteri; Cyprinodontiformes; Cyprinodontidae
Exons: 4
Source: RefSeq, a predicted model, not a curated record
ACUCAUAGCUAAAUCUUAAAGCUUUGGAGAAAAAAAAAAACAACUCUAUAUUUGACUUUGAUUUUCUACAUCAAAUCCAAAGAAAGACUGUGAAACCAGUGACAAGCCAAAAUGAGAUUCUUUCUUCCCACUGUGAUCUUCUGCUGUGUUUUCACCACUAUGGUCCCACUUGUGAGAGGUGACCAAAGCCCCCUGAUAAAAAAGCUUAGAGAAUCGCUUCAGAAACACAUGAGCAAAUACCACAGCACACAGCUCAGUGCAGCUAGUGCGCAGACAUCUGUGGGGUCAUCGCAGAAGGAUGGAGAAACAUCUUUAACAUCAGCAAGCUUUCAGAGAAACAUAAGAUCCUCAUCAUCACCUGGCUGCAGAUUGAUCACCUGUAUAAUUCAUGAUAUUGUUAAAUAUAUACCUAAGAUCAGAUCUCAACGGCCCUGUGCUCCAAAGGAUAAGUUGAAAGACACUGGUUAUGGACGGCGUCGUCGAAUGGCAGACGACCAUCAGCUCACCCUACAGACUGAGGGACCAAGGACAAGCACUGAAGCUACUCGGCAAGACGGCAGCAACCAAAACCUAUGCUUCAACGCAGUAGAAACUACUCCUGAUAGCUCAGAGUAAUAUGUGUUGGGAUUUGACAUGAAUGAUCCUCUUUUAAUGGAAAAGCAGCUGAACUUUGAAGACAUGAAUUGAGGAAAAACUAGCGAAGCAGCUGGAGCUCUGGAAGCUCACAUAAAUAAACCCAGAACCACUACUCGCAGUAAAGGGACGGCUUUCUGUGCAACGUACACCACUCGUACCGAACCUUUAUCUGUUAUUUACACCUAUUUAACUGCUAACGUGUAUAUAUGAAUGUAGAUAUUAUAUUUAAACAAACAUUAUGAUUUUGUAAACGUGCUGAAAAUAAAUAUUUCAUUUUAACUUGAAUUAUUCUGUUUGUUAAGUAUGUUACCUGAUUAGAUAAUUUUCUUUUCUCUCACUAGUAGAAAAAUUGGUAAAACAAUAAUGUGAUGUAUAUGCUGUAUCUGGGCUCAUUUAUGUCGGAUUUGUGUGACAGAUGUGUGCUGGAAAGGUUAAAAUGAACUAAUUAGGUGCUG